This is a non-coding RNA of Podarcis lilfordi (Lilford's wall lizard), 70 nucleotides long. The record is from the annotation of a GenBank genome assembly. NCBI's taxonomy places the organism in Eukaryota, Metazoa, Chordata, Lepidosauria, Squamata, Lacertidae.
GUGUGGCACAGUGGGUCAGUGCAUCCUGCUGUUAACCGGAAGGUUGGUGGUUCGAACCCACCCAGGGACA